Molecule: ribosomal RNA, 2909 nt
Filed under: Providencia stuartii
Lineage: Bacteria; Pseudomonadati; Pseudomonadota; Gammaproteobacteria; Enterobacterales; Morganellaceae
Description: 23S ribosomal RNA
Rfam family: Bacterial large subunit ribosomal RNA
Source: RNAcentral
GGUUAAGCGACUAAGCGUACACGGUGGAUGCCUAGGCAAUCAGAGGCGAUGAAGGACGUGCUAAUCUGCGAAAAGCGUCGGUAAGGUGAUAUGAACCGUUAUAACCGACGAUGUCCGAAUGGGGAAACCCAGUGCAAUUCGUUGCACUAUCGUUUGAUGAAUCCAUAGUCAAACGAGGCGAACCGGGGGAACUGAAACAUCUCAGUACCCCGAGGAAAAGAAAUCAACCGAGAUUCCCCUAGUAGCGGCGAGCGAACGGGGAGCAGCCCAGAGUCUUAAUCAGCAUCAGCAUCAGGAGAACGGUCUGGAAAGGCCGGCAAUAAAGGGUGAUAGCCCCGUAUCCGAAGGUGUUGGUGUUGUGAACUCGACGAGUAGGGCGGGACACGUGUUAUCCUGUCUGAAUAUGGGGGGACCAUCCUCCAAGGCUAAAUACUCCUGAUUGACCGAUAGUGAACCAGUACCGUGAGGGAAAGGCGAAAAGAACCCCGGCGAGGGGAGUGAAAUAGAACCUGAAACCGUGUACGUACAAGCAGUGGGAGCCUUGAUUUAUCAGGGUGACUGCGUACCUUUUGUAUAAUGGGUCAGCGACUUAUAUUCUGUAGCAAGGUUAACCGAAUAGGGGAGCCGUAGGGAAACCGAGUCUUAACUGGGCGAAUGAGUUGCAGGGUAUAGACCCGAAACCCGGUGAUCUAGCCAUGGGCAGGUUGAAGGUUGGGUAACACUAACUGGAGGACCGAACCGACUAAUGUUGAAAAAUUAGCGGAUGACUUGUGGCUGGGGGUGAAAGGCCAAUCAAACCGGGAGAUAGCUGGUUCUCCCCGAAAGCUAUUUAGGUAGCGCCUCGUGAACUCAUCUUCGGGGGUAGAGCACUGUUUCGGCUAGGGGGUCAUCCCGACUUACCAACCCGAUGCAAACUACGAAUACCGAAGAAUGUUAUCACGGGAGACACACGGCGGGUGCUAACGUUCGUCGUGAAGAGGGAAACAACCCAGACCGCCAGCUAAGGUCCCAAAGUCAUGGUUAAGUGGGAAACGAAGUGGGAAGGCUCAGACAGCCAGGAUGUUGGCUUAGAAGCAGCCAUCAUUUAAAGAAAGCGUAAUAGCUCACUGGUCGAGUCGGCCUGCGCGGAAGAUGUAACGGGGCUAAACCAUGCACCGAAGCUGCGGCAGCGACAUGUAAAUGUUGUUGGGUAGGGGAGCGUUCUGUAAGCCUGUGAAGGUGUGCUGCGAGGCAUGCUGGAGGUAUCAGAAGUGCGAAUGCUGACAUAAGUAACGAUAAUGCGGGUGAAAAACCCGCACGCCGGAAGACCAAGGGUUCCUGUCCAACGUUAAUCGGGGCAGGGUGAGUCGACCCCUAAGGCGAGGCAGAAAUGCGUAGUCGAUGGGAAACAGGUUAAUAUUCCUGUACUGGUGAUAAUUGCGAUGGGGGGACGGAGAAGGCUAGGCUGGCCGGGCGACGGUUGUCCCGGUUUAAGGAUGUAGGUGGGUGAAUUAGGCAAAUCCGGUUCGCUAUACACUGAGGUCUGAUGACGAGUCACUACGGUGGCGAAGUAGCUCAUGCCCCGCUUCCAGGAAAAGCCUCUAAGCUCUAGAUUAUCAUUAAUCGUACCCCAAACCGACACAGGUGGUCAGGUAGAGAAUACUCAGGCGCUUGAGAGAACUCGGGUGAAGGAACUAGGCAAAAUGGUGCCGUAACUUCGGGAGAAGGCACGCUGGCAUUAGGUGAAGUGGUUUACCCAUGGAGCCGAAGCCAGUCGCAGAUACCAGCUGGCUGCAACUGUUUAUUAAAAACACAGCACUGUGCAAACACGAAAGUGGACGUAUACGGUGUGACGCCUGCCCGGUGCUGGAAGGUUAAUUGAUGGGGUUAUCCGUAAGGAGAAGCUCUUGAUCGAAGCCCCAGUAAACGGCGGCCGUAACUAUAACGGUCCUAAGGUAGCGAAAUUCCUUGUCGGGUAAGUUCCGACCUGCACGAAUGGCGUAAUGAUGGCCAGGCUGUCUCCACCCGAGACUCAGUGAAAUUGAACUCGCUGUGAAGAUGCAGUGUACCCGCGGCAAGACGGAAAGACCCCGUGAACCUUUACUAUAGCUUGACACUGAACAUUGAGCCUUGAUGUGUAGGAUAGGUGGGAGGCUUUGAAGUGUGGACGCCAGUCUGCAUGGAGCCAACCUUGAAAUACCACCCUUUAAUGUUUGAUGUUCUAACGUAGCCCCAUAAUCUGGGGUGCGGACAGUGUCUGGUGGGUAGUUUGACUGGGGCGGUCUCCUCCCAAAGCGUAACGGAGGAGCACGAAGGUUGGCUAAGCAUGGUCGGACAUCAUGCGGUUAGUGCAAAGGCAUAAGCCAGCUUGACUGCGAGAGUGACGGCUCGAGCAGGUACGAAAGUAGGUCUUAGUGAUCCGGUGGUUCUGAAUGGAAGGGCCAUCGCUCAACGGAUAAAAGGUACUCCGGGGAUAACAGGCUGAUACCGCCCAAGAGUUCAUAUCGACGGCGGUGUUUGGCACCUCGAUGUCGGCUCAUCACAUCCUGGGGCUGAAGUAGGUCCCAAGGGUAUGGCUGUUCGCCAUUUAAAGUGGUACGCGAGCUGGGUUUAGAACGUCGUGAGACAGUUCGGUCCCUAUCUGCCGUGGGCGUUGGAAGAUUGAAAGGGGCUGCUCCUAGUACGAGAGGACCGGAGUGGACGCACCGCUGGUGUUCGGGUUGUCAUGCCAAUGGCACUGCCCGGUAGCUAAGUGCGGAAGAGAUAACCGCUGAAAGCAUCUAAGCGGGAAACUUGCCUUGAGAUGAGUCUUCCCUGACCCUUUAAGGGUCCUAAAGGAACGUUUAAGACGAAGACGUUGAUAGGCUGGGUGUGUAAGCGUAGCGAUACGUUGAGCUAACCAGUACUAAUGAACCGUGAGGCUUAACCUG